Molecule: long non-coding RNA, 889 nt
Filed under: Mytilus galloprovincialis (Mediterranean mussel)
Lineage: Eukaryota; Metazoa; Mollusca; Bivalvia; Mytilida; Mytilidae
Source: RNAcentral
UGCCCCUGAAAUGUCUUGAUAUGAGGUUAUUUGAUUAUAACUUCAACUAAGUUCAUUAUAAAGGCAUUUGACCUUGUACAAAAGGUUAAGGUGACAAAUGACCUUGAAAAAUGACUACCGGAAGUGACCUUGAGAAAACCGGAAGUAGCCUUUUUUGCAAUUUUUUCAUAUAAAAGUACUCAGAAUCCAUAUAUUUUGUCAUAUAGAUACAUAAACUGAUUACUGAAGACUAAAAAUGACUUCCAACAAACCGGAAGUGGCCAAUUAUCUCCCAUUCUACAUACAAAAGUAUAUAGAAACUAUAUAUUUUUGGAAUCAGUGUGAAAGAAGCUAUCAUAUGAGACCGGAAGUGACAUUCAUUUCACCGGAAGUAGCAUAUUAUCUCCCUUAUAUCACUCAAAAAUAUAAUUAAACCAUUAUUUAUCGCAUCAGUAUGAAGAAACUAUCUUCUUAUCAAAAAUUUCUUUGAUGUGGAAAGACUUUCAAUUGUUCUCUGAACAAUUGGUUUUUAAUUAUUAUUAUUAUUAUUAUUAUUUUUUUUUUCUUUCCGCCAAAUUUUGUUCUUGCGAAAUGUUUGUUUCGCAAUAUGUCGCUUAGAUAUUUCUCAUAUUGUAUCGUAUAGUUUAUGCGCUUUUAAAUUUCACCCUGCUAAGCCGAACCAUUUUCUUUGUAAGAGUUAUCUCCCUAUUCACUGUUUAUCAUCUGUGUGCAUCUCCUUCGUAACAAAAAAAGAUAGCGACAAAAUUCUUUUUACAAAUUGUUCGUUACAUCCUCAGAAUUUUUGGCUAAUUUGGAUCGAAGCGAUUCGAUGAAAUUUUAUAGGAGUUAUCUAUCUUUACGGAAUAAAUUUGUCGGUAUGUUUUUUUAACUCAUAAACCGUUAACCGUAU